UGCACGCUGCACGUGGAAUAAUUGGCAUCCUGUUGGAGUGUUGGCAUGGCAUUACUCAUCAGCAAGCCGUCCGUCAUGAUAAAUUUUCGAAGUGGGAUGUAUGUCUUAUUGUCUUAUGUAUGUGGUGAUAUGUCUCAUGUCUGGUGUGUUAACGUGUGAAAGCUCUACAGCAUGUGAACGCAUGGAAAUUUGGACUUCAGCGCAUAUUUUAAUUUUUAAAGUGAUUUAGUGAUUUCAAGAUUUCACGAGAUAAGUGUUAAGUUCUCAAUGCCUAAAGAAUACUACACUGAAAAAUAGAGAUAAGGUUGCAGUGGAAUAUUUUCAAAAAGCCGACUGUUCUUCGCAAACGGUUCGAAAUGGAAGAUUUAUAGAUUCACCAAAGAAACGAGUCAUAUGACUCAAAUGUCAAUUGACCCAUCCCCAGCAACAUCAACCUGCAG
This is a long non-coding RNA of Daphnia pulicaria, 440 nucleotides long. RefSeq lists it as uncharacterized. The record is from RefSeq and is a predicted model, not a curated record. The transcript has 3 exons. Lineage: Eukaryota; Metazoa; Arthropoda; Branchiopoda; Diplostraca; Daphniidae.